This 424-nucleotide ribosomal RNA is filed under the name uncultured bacterium. RNAcentral's name for it is "partial 16S ribosomal RNA". It matches the Rfam family "Bacterial small subunit ribosomal RNA", at positions 354 to 796 of the family's 1533-position model. The record is from RNAcentral.
GUGGGGAAUAUUGCACAAUGGGGGAAACCCUGAUGCAGCGACGCCGCGUGAGUGAAGAAGUAUUUCGGUAUGUAAAGCUCUAUCAGCAGGGAAGAAAAUGACGGUACCUGACUAAGAAGCCCCGGCUAACUACGUGCCAGCAGCCGCGGUAUACGUAGGGGGCAAGCGUUAUCCGGAUUUACUGGGUGUAAAGGGAGCGUAGACGGCAUGGCAAGUCUGAAGUGAAAUGCGGGGGCUCAACCCCUGAACUGCUUUGGAAACUGUCAGGCUGGAGUGCAGGAGAGGUAAGUGGAAUUCCUAGUGUAGCGGUGAAAUGCGUAGAUAUUAGGAGGAACACCAGUGGCGAAGGCGGCUUACUGGACUGUAACUGACGUUGAGGCUCGAAAGCGUGGGGAGCAAACAGGAUUAGAUACCCUGGUAGUCC